Bubalus bubalis (water buffalo) is the source of this 246-nucleotide long non-coding RNA. RefSeq lists it as uncharacterized. The transcript is spliced from 2 exons. The record is from RefSeq and is a predicted model, not a curated record. Lineage: Eukaryota; Metazoa; Chordata; Mammalia; Artiodactyla; Bovidae.
CAGCAAGGAAGGGUUGGGGACAGGAAUGCUAGUUUUUAUCUCAAGGUCAUGGUAUGAGUUGACUUCAAGCUUUCUCUUAGAAAUAGUUUUCUUCUUUUGGGAGUUUGAAGAAGAACUGAAAUGUAAUUUCUCAUUUUUCAAAAGGCAACAAGAAUACCAAUCACACAAAAUGGAAUACAGACUCACAUAGCAGAAGACAGAGCUGUCAGAAACCCUCCAGAAGAUUACCCACAUGAAGUCUGAAAA